AUUUAUUUAAAAGUAGAAACAAAAUCCAUCCAAUUAUUAAUCUAUCUGUUUCUGAAUUUAUAUCUACAUAGACUCGAGAAUAAUUAUUUAGGUAUAAUUUAUAUAGAAAUUUAUAAAUUAUUCAUUAAUACCUCACUAGGUGCUUCUCCUUGUCUGUCUUUGUUGCUCUGUAUCUCAUCUCAUCGGCCAACAGACCAGCCGCUUUUUCCGUCUUCUCCAAGUCCGCUGAGUCGCCAUCGCCGCCCAACCCGAAACGCCAUCACCCAGUCUGCUACGAACAGAGAACCACAGUCUACAUUCCUGUCAUCAUGACUCACUCUUGUUCAUGUUAUAUUAAUUACAAAUUCAUUACGAUUUUUAUUUGAUGUCUUUGGAAUGACGAUUUGCACAUCAACUAUUUGUUAUAAAGCCUGAAUGUACAUUCAUGGCUAUUUUCACUUUUCUGGUAUGAAAUUAUACACAAAUGCCAUCAUGUUGAUUAUUUUUAGUUAUUAGAUUCUCAUUUCCUGCAUAUCUCUUCUUCAAUUCAAACCACGUGGCUUGUAUGUGAACCGGUUAUAGCUUCCAUGUGAAGGUUCUUUUGGAUUAAGAUAUCGGUGCCUGAUGAAGCUACUGCAUCAAUUGAUUACGCAAGAGAUUUGAUUCUGUAGAAAAACAUUAGGCUGGGUUUGGAAAUUGUCUUCUGGAUUCUCUUCAAAACUGUGUGCUUCUCUUUAAUUUGUUUACUUAGUUUUGCUUUCGCUCUAUGUUUGCUUUGGUUUGAAUGGGCAAUCACGAGUUCUAGUUUGCAUCAAUGAUUGAGCCUCUCAAUGGGUUUAUUCCUUGUAAAAGCAAUGCUACUCUUGAUUAUGUAGUCUUUCUAUUUCAGCUUCAUCAAUUGCCAAUGGCAUCAUUGAUUGAGUCUCUCGAUGGGUUUACUCCUUUUUCUUGUAAAAGCAAUGUUAUAGAGCAACUAGAAUACAAUGCUAUAAGGUUGCUUCUUAUUGAAGACUGAAGGAUAGGGAGGCAUAUCAACUUUGAAUAUCUAUUUUAGAUAGGAGUAGUUACUUUAUAGAGCAACUAGAAUACAAUGCUAUAAAAGUUGCUUCUUAUUGCAAAAAACCAGAACAAUGAUAUCAUGUAAUGAAAAAUUCAUAGUUAACGGAUCUCUUUGGUUUU
Long non-coding RNA from Glycine soja, 1158 nucleotides. RefSeq lists it as uncharacterized. NCBI's taxonomy places the organism in Eukaryota, Viridiplantae, Streptophyta, Magnoliopsida, Fabales, Fabaceae. The transcript has 2 exons. The record is from RefSeq and is a predicted model, not a curated record.